Molecule: ribosomal RNA, 1316 nt
Filed under: Limosilactobacillus fermentum
Lineage: Bacteria; Bacillati; Bacillota; Bacilli; Lactobacillales; Lactobacillaceae
Description: bacterial SSU rRNA
Rfam family: Bacterial small subunit ribosomal RNA
Source: RNAcentral
AGAGUUUGAUCCUGGCUCAGGAUGAACGCUGUCGGUGUGCCUAAUACAUGCAAGUCGAACGCGUUGGCCCAAUUGAUUGAUGGUGCUUGCACCUGAUUGAUUUUGGUCGCCAACGAGUGGCGGACGGGUGAGUAACACGUAGGUAACCUGCCCAGAAGCGGGGGACAACAUUUGGAAACAGAUGCUAAUACCGCAUAACAGCGUUGUUCGCAUGAACAACGCUUAAAAGAUGGCUUCUCGCUAUCACUUCUGGAUGGACCUGCGGUGCAUUAGCUUGUUGGUGGGGUAACGGCCUACCAAGGCGAUGAUGCAUAGCCGAGUUGAGAGACUGAUCGGCCACAAUGGGACUGAGACACGGCCCAUACUCCUACGGGAGGCAGCAGUAGGGAAUCUUCCACAAUGGGCGCAAGCCUGAUGGAGCAACACCGCGUGAGUGAAGAAGGGUUUCGGCUCGUAAAGCUCUGUUGUUAAAGAAGAACACGUAUGAGAGUAACUGUUCAUACGUUGACGGUAUUUAACCAGAAAGUCACGGCUAACUACGUGCCAGCAGCCGCGGUAAUACGUAGGUGGCAAGCGUUAUCCGGAUUUAUUGGGCGUAAAGAGAGUGCAGGCGGUUUUCUAAGUCUGAUGUGAAAGCCUUCGGCUUAACCGGAGAAGUGCAUCGGAAACUGGAUAACUUGAGUGCAGAAGAGGGUAGUGGAACUCCAUGUGUAGCGGUGGAAUGCGUAGAUAUAUGGAAGAACACCAGUGGCGAAGGCGGCUACCUGGUCUGCAACUGACGCUGAGACUCGAAAGCAUGGGUAGCGAACAGGAUUAGAUACCCUGGUAGUCCAUGCCGUAAACGAUGAGUGCUAGGUGUUGGAGGGUUUCCGCCCUUCAGUGCCGGAGCUAACGCAUUAAGCACUCCGCCUGGGGAGUACGACCGCAAGGUUGAAACUCAAAGGAAUUGACGGGGGCCCGCACAAGCGGUGGAGCAUGUGGUUUAAUUCGAAGCUACGCGAAGAACCUUACCAGGUCUUGACAUCUUGCGCCAACCCUAGAGAUAGGGCGUUUCCUUCGGGAACGCAAUGACAGGUGGUGCAUGGUCGUCGUCAGCUCGUGUCGUGAGAUGUUGGGUUAAGUCCCGCAACGAGCGCAACCCUUGUUACUAAUUGCCAGCAUUAAGUUGGGCACUCUAGUGAGACUGCCGGUGACAAACCGGAGGAAGGUGGGGACGACGUCAGAUCAUCAUGCCCCUUAUGACCUGGGCUACACACGUGCUACAAUGGACGGUACAACGAGUCGCGAACUCCCGAGGGCAAGCAAAUCUCUUAAAA